UGUACAUUUUGGAAGUGUUGGCGAUCGGCGUCCGGCACCACACGUACCCGGAGACCUGGUGUGUGUGUGGCGAGAACUCCUACGACCUACUUCUCAGCAACUUUCAAGGGUGAAAUACGGCGUCGUUAACUGUGGUCGCCGUGCAUACGUUAAUACCCAGGACCCGCCUCCUGUAAACCGGAACAUGUUCCUUUCAUCUUACGGCGUGAGCGGAGACGACGGGCGCGUUCUCCUUCCGUUUCUUUAUCCCUUUGGUGCGUGUGAGCUUCAGGUCAUCGGUUUCCCCAAAGGAGGAUCUCUUGCUCUUCUUAGCCAGACGUGGGCAGGCCCUGCCACUCCCUGCUCCUGUCAAUAAAGUUUUAUUGGAACACA
Long non-coding RNA from Felis catus (domestic cat), 372 nucleotides. RefSeq lists it as uncharacterized. Lineage: Eukaryota; Metazoa; Chordata; Mammalia; Carnivora; Felidae. The transcript is spliced from 2 exons. The record is from RefSeq and is a predicted model, not a curated record.